AGCAGUUUGGAGAUACCUCAGAAAGUUAAAAACAGAUCUUUUUUUUUUUUUUACCUAGUGAUCCCACUUCUGGGAUUAUAUCCAAAGGGACCCAAAACACUAAUUUGAGAGAACAUAAACAUCCCUAUAUGCAUUGCAGCAUUAUUUACAAUUAUCAAAAUAUGGAAGCAGCCCAAGUGUCCAUCAGUAGAUGAGUGGAUAAAACAACUAUGGGACAUUUACAUAAUGAAAUACUACUCAGCU
This is a long non-coding RNA of Phyllostomus discolor (pale spear-nosed bat), 243 nucleotides long. RefSeq lists it as uncharacterized. The record is from RefSeq and is a predicted model, not a curated record. Lineage: Eukaryota; Metazoa; Chordata; Mammalia; Chiroptera; Phyllostomidae. The transcript is spliced from 2 exons.